Molecule: long non-coding RNA, 527 nt
Organism: Homo sapiens (human)
Lineage: Eukaryota; Metazoa; Chordata; Mammalia; Primates; Hominidae
Exons: 2
Source: RefSeq, a predicted model, not a curated record
CACAUUUCCAAGGCCCAUUGGCAAUAGUGUGCACAUACAUAUCUGACCAGUCAGAGUUCUCCAUUCAUAGACAAGUAAUUAGUCCAUAAAUCAGUAUACGAUCCAAACUGGGUUAAUAAGAAUCUGGGCUGGGUCUUGCACUGAAGCCAUUUGGCAAAACACAUACUUUUAUUUUUCUUGCAUGUCAGUCUCCAAGGAACAUGUAAGUUGACAGUUGCCUGGGAAACUUGCUGCUGUAUUGGACCACAUCUAUCUGAGAGUGAGUCCAAAUUGAAAUACGGAUAGAAAGAUAAAGAGUUCUUACAGCUCUUUGAAUUCCUGGAGCCAGCCAUGCCUGAAGAUAGUGCCAUCCUUUGAGUCAAUAAGUUAUUUUUGUGCUGAGCUACAACCAACAGCUUGAUGACACAUGCAGAGAUGGAAUACCCUGUGUUCAAGGAUGACAGAGGUUAAGUGGGCAAAAGAAUCGUGAAUGUUUUCAAUGGAGUCAAUAAAAUUAAUGAUAGGUAAAUAAAUCCAAAUUGAAUGAA